ACACCUCAACUCUCAUGGUCUUCCAUGAUGAGCUUGGACUUUGGGGGUUUGCUGGCCCUGCGGCCGGCUCCUCUCAAACGAAUUAGCUUGCCAGUGUUUGGUGGCAUCACGAGUGUGAUAACUAUCUACGCUCGCGGUCGUCCGCCAGGUAACCCUCAGCGAUGAAGGUUCAUUGGGGCUUAUAAACGUCUCUCCUCGGCGAGGACAACUUUUGAAC
This 217-nucleotide unclassified non-coding RNA is filed under the name uncultured Tomentella. RNAcentral describes it as "partial internal transcribed spacer 2". Lineage: Eukaryota; Fungi; Basidiomycota; Agaricomycetes; Thelephorales; Thelephoraceae. The record is from RNAcentral.